Molecule: ribosomal RNA, 406 nt
Filed under: uncultured bacterium
Lineage: Bacteria
Description: partial 16S ribosomal RNA
Rfam family: Bacterial small subunit ribosomal RNA
Source: RNAcentral
GAUGAACGCUGACAGCAUGCUUAACACAUCAGCAAUUGAUUGGUGGCGGACGGAUGAGUAACGCGUAAAGAACUUGCCUCACAGGUAGGGACAACAUUUGGAAACGAAUGCUAAUACCUAAUACUGUGAGAGAGCUUUGCGUCCCAUUAGCUAGUUGGCGAGGUAACGGCUCACCAAGGCGAGGAUGGGUAGCCGGCCUGGGAGGGUGAUCGGCCACAAGGGGACUGAGACACGGCACUUAGUCCUACGGGAGGCAGGAGUGGGGAAUAUUGGACAAUGGGCCAAAGUCUGAGACAGCAAUUCGGUGUGCACGAUGAAGUUUUCGGAAUGUAAAGUGCUUUCAUUUGGGAAGCGGCACCAACAGAAGAAGUGACGGCUAAAUACGUGCCAGCAGCCGCGGUAAUAC